CGGGAAUCUUCGGAUUCUAGUGGCGGACGGGUGAGUAACGCGUAAGAAUCUAACUUCAGGACGGGGACAACAGUUGGAAACGACUGCUAAUACCCGAUGUGCCGAAAGGUGAAACCUAAUUGGCCUGAAGAAGAGCUUGCGUCUGAUUAGCUAGUUGGUGGGGUAAAGGCCUACCAAGGCGACGAUCAGUAGCUGGUCUGAGAGGAUGAGCAGCCACACUGGGACUGAGACACGGCCCAGACUCCUACGGGAGGCAGCAGUGGGGAAUUUUCCGCAAUGGGCGAAAGCCUGACGGAGCAACGCCGCGUGAGGGAGGAAGGUCUUUGGAUUGUAAACCUCUUUUCUCAAGGAAGAAGUUCUGACGGUACUUGAGGAAUCAGCCUCGGCUAACUCCGUGCCAGCAGCCGCGGUAAUACGGGGGAGGCAAGCGUUAUCCGGAAUUAUUGGGCGUAAAGCGUCCGCAGGUGGUCAGCCAAGUCUGCCGUCAAAUCAGGUUGCUUAACGACCUAAAGGCGGCGGAAACUGGCAGACUAGAGAGCAGUAGGGGUAGCAGGAAUUCCCAGUGUAGCGGUGAAAUGCGUAGAGAUUGGGAAGAACAUCGGUGGCGAAAGCGUGCUACUGGGCUGUAUCUGACACUCAGGGACGAAAGCUAGGGGAGCGAAAGGGAUUAGAUACCCCUGUAGUCCUAGCCGUAAACGAUGGAUACUAGGCGUGGCUUGUAUCGACCCGAGCCGUGCCGAAGCUAACGCGUUAAGUAUCC
Molecule: ribosomal RNA, 760 nt
Filed under: uncultured cyanobacterium
Lineage: Bacteria; Bacillati; Cyanobacteriota
Description: bacterial SSU rRNA
Rfam family: Bacterial small subunit ribosomal RNA
Source: RNAcentral